GCGCCAAUAGCUCAAGCGGCAGAGCAACUGACUCUUAAUCAGUGGGUUCGGGGUUCGAGUCCCUGUUGGCGCACCG
Molecule: transfer RNA, 76 nt
Filed under: Actinopolyspora xinjiangensis
Lineage: Bacteria; Bacillati; Actinomycetota; Actinomycetes; Actinopolysporales; Actinopolysporaceae
Also listed under: 2 other names
Description: tRNA_Lys_CTT
Rfam family: tRNA
About the family: Transfer RNA (tRNA) molecules are approximately 80 nucleotides in length. Their secondary structure includes four short double-helical elements and three loops (D, anti-codon, and T loops). Further hydrogen bonds mediate the characteristic L-shaped molecular structure. tRNAs have two regions of fundamental functional importance: the anti-codon, which is responsible for specific mRNA codon recognition, and the 3' end, to which the tRNAs corresponding amino acid is attached (by aminoacyl-tRNA synthetases). tRNAs cope with the degeneracy of the genetic code in two manners: having more than one tRNA (with a specific anti-codon) for a particular amino acid; and 'wobble' base-pairing, i.e. permitting non-standard base-pairing at the 3rd anti-codon position.
Source: RNAcentral